RNAcentral lists this ribosomal RNA (104 nucleotides) under Prolemur simus (greater bamboo lemur). Lineage: Eukaryota; Metazoa; Chordata; Mammalia; Primates; Lemuridae. The record is from RNAcentral.
GUCUAUGUCCAUACCACCCUGAAUGUACCUGAUCUUGGAAGCUAAGCAGGGUCAGGCCUGGUUAGUACUUGGAUGGGAGACAGAUAGGUAAAUAGAUAUAUAUU